AGUGAACGCUGGCGGUAGGCCUAACACAUGCAAGUCGAACGGCAGCACAGUAAGAGCUUGCUCUUACGGGUGGCGAGUGGCGGACGGGUGAGGAAUACAUCGGGAUCUACUUUUUCGUGGGGGAUAACGUAGGGAAACUUACGCUAAUACCGCAUACGACCUACGGGUGAAGGCAGGGGAUCUUCGGACCUUGCGCGAUUGAAUGAGCCGAUGUCGGAUUAGCUAGUUGGCGGGGUAAAGGCCCACCAAGGCGACGAUCCGUAGCUGGUCUGAGAGGAUGAUCAGCCACACUGGAACUGAGACACGGUCCAGACUCCUACGGGAGGCAGCAGUGGGGAAUAUUGGACAAUGGGCGCAAGCCUGAUCCAGCCAUACCGCGUGGGUGAAGAAGGCCUUCGGGUUGUAAAGCCCUUUUGUUGGGAAAGAAAAGCAGCAGGUUAAUACCCCGCUGUUCUGACGGUACCCAAAGAAUAAGCACCGGCUAACUUCGUG
RNAcentral lists this ribosomal RNA (492 nucleotides) under uncultured bacterium. RNAcentral's name for it is "partial 16S ribosomal RNA". It matches the Rfam family "Bacterial small subunit ribosomal RNA", at positions 29 to 507 of the family's 1533-position model. The record is from RNAcentral.